RNAcentral lists this ribosomal RNA (656 nucleotides) under Ostreococcus sp. RCC422. Its description in RNAcentral is "partial 18S ribosomal RNA". It matches the Rfam family "Eukaryotic small subunit ribosomal RNA", at positions 629 to 1305 of the family's 1831-position model. Lineage: Eukaryota; Viridiplantae; Chlorophyta; Mamiellophyceae; Mamiellales; Bathycoccaceae. The record is from RNAcentral.
UUUAGUCGGAUUUUGGCUGAGAACGGUCUUUCCGCCGUUAGGUGUGCACUGACUGGUCUCAGCUUCCUGGUGAGGAGGUGUGCUUCAUCGCCACUUAGUCACCGUGGUUACUUUGAAAAAAUUAGAGUGUUCAAAGCGGGCUUACGCUUGAAUAUAUUAGCAUGGAAUAACACCAUAGGACUCCUAUCCUAUUUCGUUGGUCUCGGGACGGGAGUAAUGAUUAAGAGGAACAGUUGGGGGCAUUCGUAUUUCAUUGUCAGAGGUGAAAUUCUUGGAUUUAUGAAAGACGAACUUCUGCGAAAGCAUUUGCCAAGGAUGUUUUCAUUGAUCAAGAACGAAAGUUGGGGGCUCGAAGAUGAUUAGAUACCAUCCUAGUCUCAACCAUAAACGAUGCCGACUAGGGAUUGGCGGAUGUUAAUUGAUGACUUCGCCAGCACCUUAUGAGAAAUCAAAGUUUUUGGGUUCCGGGGGGAGUAUGGUCGCAAGGCUGAAACUUAAAGGAAUUGACGGAAGGGCACCACCAGGCGUGGAGCCUGCGGCUUAAUUUGACUCAACACGGGGAAACUUACCAGGUCCAGACAUAGUAAGGAUUGACAGAUUGAAAGCUCUUUCUUGAUUCUAUGGGGGGGGGGGCAUGGCCGUUCUUAAUUGGGGGA